UGCCCAGCAACUCCUAUCCCUACCUCCUCGCGGUACUGGCCGGGGAACAAGCAACCUUAGGGAAGAUCUGGUAACCAACCUUGGUGGGAUCUUUGGUCGUAUGCUGACAGGGAAGG
Molecule: ribozyme, 116 nt
Filed under: Aedes aegypti (yellow fever mosquito)
Lineage: Eukaryota; Metazoa; Arthropoda; Insecta; Diptera; Culicidae
Description: drz-agam-1 ribozyme
Rfam family: drz-agam-1 ribozyme
Source: Rfam by way of RNAcentral